AUGACUAAUAUGGGUCAGGUUACGAUAUCUAUGUCUGGAAAUAGUUUGUUUGUCUCCAUGUAUACAGGUGACUUGAGGACCAUGACUAGGUUCAGGGAGGAACCGAUGUCUGGAUGUUUAGGAUGCCAUGUGACAUGGUUGAACUAGAGUCGUGAUCCUUGGAGGUCAAUAUCGGUCAACAGCAGCAUGAUCGUGACUAGGCUCAGGGAGGAGCUGAGGUCCGGACGAUCGAGGAUGUCCGGUGACAAUGUUAAAUACGAGGUGGCACAUGGUAAGGGAACACAGUGUAGG
This 291-nucleotide long non-coding RNA is filed under the name Oryza brachyantha (malo sina). Its description in RNAcentral is "long non-coding RNA (OBRA_LNC001717)". Lineage: Eukaryota; Viridiplantae; Streptophyta; Magnoliopsida; Poales; Poaceae. The record is from RNAcentral.